Molecule: transfer RNA, 74 nt
Filed under: bacterium
Lineage: Bacteria
Also listed under: 1 other name
Description: tRNA-Val
Rfam family: tRNA
About the family: Transfer RNA (tRNA) molecules are approximately 80 nucleotides in length. Their secondary structure includes four short double-helical elements and three loops (D, anti-codon, and T loops).
Source: RNAcentral
GGACGAUUAGCUCAGUUGGCUAGAGCGUCACAUUGACAUUGUGAAGGUCACAGGUUCAAGUCCUGUAUCGUCCA